AGCGGCGGACGGGUGAGUAACGCGUGGGAAUAUGCCCUUCUCUAAGGAAUAGCCUCGGGAAACUGAGAGUAAUACCUUAUACGCCCUUCGGGGGAAAGAUUUAUCGGAGAAGGAUUGGCCCGCGUUAGAUUAGGUAGUUGGUGGGGUAAUGGCCUACCAAGCCUACGAUCUAUAGCUGGUUUGAGAGGAUGAUCAGCCACACUGGGACUGAGACACGGCCCAGACUCCUACGGGAGGCAGCAGUAGGGAAUCUUAGACAAUGGGGGAAACCCUGAUCUAGCCAUGCCGCGUGUGUGAUGAAGGCCUUAGGGUCGUAAAGCACUUUCGCCAGAGAUGAUAAUGACAGUAUCUGGUAAAGAAACCCCGGCUAACUCCGUGCCAGCAGCCGCGGUAAUACGGAGGGGGUUAGCGUUGUUCGGAAUUACUGGGCGUAAAGCGUACGUAGGCGGAUUAGUAAGUUAGAGGUGAAAUCCCAGGGCUCAACCCUGGAACUGCCUUUAAUACUGCUAGUCUUGAGUUCGAGAGAGGUAAGUGGAAUUCCGAGUGUAGAGGUGAAAUUCGUAGA
This 565-nucleotide ribosomal RNA is filed under the name uncultured bacterium. RNAcentral describes it as "bacterial SSU rRNA". It matches the Rfam family "Bacterial small subunit ribosomal RNA", at positions 94 to 694 of the family's 1533-position model. The record is from RNAcentral.